GAUGAACGCUGGCGGCGUGCCUAAUACAUGCAAGUCGAGCGAACGGACGAGAAGCUUGCUUCUCUGAUGUUAGCGGCGGACGGGUGAGUAACACGUGGAUAACCUACCUAUAAGACUGGGAUAACUUCGGGAAACCGGAGCUAAUACCGGAUAAUAUUUUGAACCGCAUGGUUCAAAAGUGAAAGACGGUCUUGCUGUCACUUAUAGAUGGAUCCGCGCUGCAUUAGCUAGUUGGUAAGGUAACGGCUUACCAAGGCAACGAUGCAUAGCCGACCUGAGAGGGUGAUCGGCCACACUGGACCUGAGACGCGGUCCUGACUCCUACGGGAGGCAGCAGUAGGGAAUCUUCCGCAAUGGGCGGAAGCCUGACGGAGCAGCGCCGCGUGAGUGAUGAAGGUCUUCGGAUCGUAAAACUCUGUUAUUAGGGAAGAACAUAUGUGUAAGUAACUGUGCACAUCUUGACGGUACCUAAUCAGAAAGCCACGGCUAACUACGUG
RNAcentral lists this ribosomal RNA (497 nucleotides) under uncultured bacterium. RNAcentral describes it as "partial 16S ribosomal RNA". It matches the Rfam family "Bacterial small subunit ribosomal RNA", at positions 28 to 507 of the family's 1533-position model. The record is from RNAcentral.